RNAcentral lists this long non-coding RNA (20197 nucleotides) under Physcomitrium patens. RNAcentral's name for it is "long non-coding RNA (PPAT_LNC004835)". Lineage: Eukaryota; Viridiplantae; Streptophyta; Bryopsida; Funariales; Funariaceae. The record is from RNAcentral.
GAACUUAGGAUUUGUUUAGGAUUUGUUUUAAGAUUAGGAUUUUAUUUAGAAUUUAGAGUUUGGUUAGAAUUUGAUUUAGAAUUAGGAUUUGAUUUAGGAUUUAGAGUUUGGUUAGAAUUUGAUUUAGAAUUAGGAUUUGAUUUAGGAUUUAGGGUUUGAUUAGGAUUUAAUUUAGGAUUUAGGAUUUGAUUUAGAGUUUAAGAUUUGAUUUAAGAUUAGGAUUUGAUUAGAAUUUGAUUAGGAUUUGAUUUAAGAUUAGGGUUUGAUUUAGGAUUUAGGAUUUAGGAUUUGGUUUGGAUUUGAUUUAAGAUUAAGAUUUGGUUUAAGAUUUAAGAUUUGGUUAGGAUUUGAUUUAGGAUUAGGAUUUGAUUUAAGAUUAGGAUUUGAUUUAGGAUUUAAAGUUUAGGAUUUGGUUAGGAUUUGAUUUAAGAUUAGAGUUUGGUUUAAGAUUUAGAGUUUGGUUAGGAUUUGAUUUAGAGUUUAAAAUUUGGUUAGGAUUUGAUUUAGGAUUAGAAUUUGGUUUAGGGUUUAGGAUUUAGGAUUUGGUUAGGAUUUGGUUUAGGAUUAAGGGUUUAGUUAGGGUUUGAUUUAAGAUUAGGAUUUGAUUUAGGAUUUAGGAUUUGAUUUAGAGUUUAAGGUUUGAUUUAGAAUUUAAGGUUUGGUUAGGAUUUGAUCAAGAUUUGAUUUAGGAUUUAGGAUUUUAUUUGAAUUUGUUUAGAAUUUAAAAUUUAGUUAGUUUUGGCCUAAAGUUUAAAUGAAGUCCAAUAAGAUUUCAACUAGGAUUAAAUUAAGAUUGAAUUGAGAUGUAUUUGAGAUAUGUUUGUAAUCAUUCUAAUAUUUUUUUAAGAUUUCUUAUUGUUUCUUUAGAAUUUCUUUGAGGUUUCUCUAAAUUUGAUUAAAGCUUCUUUAGCAUUGUUAAUGUUCUAUUAGAAUUAAGAUUUUGUUGUUGUAGUUUCCAUUCUACCUUCUAUAGCUAGGUGCCCAAAGCAUUCUCAAGCAAGACUUCAUGUAUUACGAUAAUGUUCUUCAAUUAUACCACAUAUAUACAUCAAUUAUUUUGUAGCUUCUUCACUAUCCAAUUCUAAUGAGCAAUUGGAAGCAAAAAAUAUACAGAUUGAUGUAGUUUGCUUCAAACCUCUUUUUGAGCAUGAAAAAAAACGUUGAAGGGACUUGGUCUAUGCUUAUAUUGUAAAAAAUCUGGCCAUAAGAUUAAUAAUUUUUUAGAAAAAUACCAGCAUACAUAUCCAAUGAGAAGUGAAGCUACAUCAUCAAAAUCAUUGCAUGAAAACGAGGGCGUCUAGCCACAAUAGAGACCAUACGACUGGAUUCUUCACUUUCAUGAAUCAAAAAAGAUCUUUUAAUUUCUAUCAACCCUUCUCCUUAUUUUACUGUACAUAUACGGUUAGGAGUCACAAAACUAGAGUGUCAUGUAUUACUUGACUUGAGAGCCUCUACAUGUUUUAUUAACAAAGAAUUUUUUAAAUCACACAAAAUCCGUAUGGUUAAAAAAUCCAAAGUUGUACAUAUAAAUGUAAUAGAUGGUCGACCUUUAUCUUCUAGAAAUGUCAUUCAUGAAAUGAUUCCAUUAAAAAUAAUCUUUGACAACCAUAGCAGCCAAGUAGUAUUCAACGUCAUUAGAUCACCAUCAAGUUCAGUCAUUUUAUAACUCUAAUGGCUUGAAAAGUAUAAUCCUUAGAUAGAUUGAAUAUCCCAAAAGUUAGAAUUUCUUCUAGUAGAUCAUAGAGCCUCCAAAUCUAUGAAAAAGGUUCUAACACGUAAUAAGCUAAAACUUAAAUAAUAUUUAUUUAUUGAAGCUGGACCAUUUGUGAAGGUGGCUAACUAAAGUACUACAUUUGUUGUCUAUGCAAAUCUACAAUUGGAACUUGUGAUUGCUACAACAAAAAUUCCAAAGGUAUAUAAGGAUUUUAUAGAUGUAUUUGAAAAGAAAAAUGCAGACAUCCUGCCAAUGCAUUGUCCUUACGAUUGUACAAUUGACCUUCAAGAAGGUGCUCAACCACUAUUUAGAUCUAUCUAUUAUUUAUUCCAAAAUGAGCUUGCAACUUUAAAGGAGUAUAUUGAAGAAAAUCUAACUAAGAAUUUUAUUUGGCAUUCUAAGUUGCCAGCUAGUAUUUUGAUAUUAUUUGUGAAGAAAAAAAUAAGAUCUUUACAAAUGUAUCUCAAUUAUUGCAGUUUUAAUAAAAUCAUGGUAAAAAUUGAUAUCUAUUACCGAAGAUAUCCAGACUUCUUGAUCAACUUAGCCAAGUAAAAUCUUUACAAAUAUUGAUCUAUGAGGCACUUAUAACUUGGAAUGCAUUAAAAAUAGAGAUGAAUUGAAGAUAACAUUUUAUACUAGGUAUAGACAUUUUGAAUAUAAUAUCAUGUCUUUUGGACUUACCAAUAUAUCAGCCAUAUUCUAAUACUUAAUGAAUGACAUAUUUUAUGAGCAUCUCAAUGAUUUUGUUGUGAUCUAUUUGGAUGAUAUUCUAAUCUUUUCCAAGAAUCCAAAAGACCACAAAAAAUAUGUUUGCCUUGUGCUAAAAAAGCUAUGAAGUACUGGGUUAUAUGCAAAACUGGAGAAGUGUAUAUUUCAUGCACCUCAAGUCAAAUUUUUUAGAUAUAUUAUUUCCAAUAAAGGCCUUUUUAUAGAUCCAAAUAAGGUACAAGUAAUCAUUGAUUGGACAAAGAUAAAAACUAUACAUGAUUUCUAAUACUUUUUAAGAUUUGUAAAUUUCUACAUGAUUUUUAUUAGGAAUUACUCUAAGAUUAUUGCUCCACUUUCAUAAUUAACAUGCAAGAACAAGCUAAAUUGGGGUUCCAAAACAGAGAAAGCUUUUCAAAGAUUAAAAGAUGCUUUCAUAACAGUUCCAAUUUUGAUACAUCUAGAUUUCAACAAGCUCUAUUUUAUGGAGAUCAAUGCCUCAAACUUUGUAUUGAAAGUAGUCUUGUUGCAAUAUGGAGAAGUUGACAAAUUUCAUCUAAUCGCAUUCUAUUCUAGAAAAUUUUCAGUGAUAAAAAUUAACUAUGAAAUCCACAAUAAAGAGUUGUUUGCUAUUGUAGAUUCUUUCCAAGAAUAAUGCCACUUUCUUGAAUGUACCUUUCAUCAGGUGAUUGUAUACACAGAUUACAAGAAUCUUAAAUAUUUCAAAUUAGCCUGAAUCUUAAAUUAUCGUCAAGCACGUUGGAAUAUAUCUUUAUCACGAUUUAACUUUGUAUCACAUAUCGACCCAAGAGCCAACAAAGAUUAUCAAAUGUAUUAUCAAGAUGUUUCUACCUUGAACCAAAAGAAGGCGAGGCAGCAUAUAAUUAACAAUGGACAACCUUGUUAAAACUCGAGCAAUUUCAUCUUUAAGCAACUAAUGUAUCAAUCCUAGUGGAUUUAUCAUUUCUUGAUUAGGUUCAUAAAGCCUUAAACAUAGACCUUCUUGUUCUUAAUAUCAAGCAUCUUGCUAACAACCUACUGAAAAGUCUUCUAAAUUCAAAUAUGAAGACAACCUCUUAUUUUUUGAAGAACAUUUGUUCAUUCUUGAAGGGCCAACUUGCUUGUGUGUUCUUCAAAGAUGCCAUGACUUCUCUACAGCCAGACAUUUUAGAUUCAACAAGACCUUAGAACUUCUGUUUAGAGAUUUUUGGUGGCCUAAAAUAUAGCCAUUUGAGAUGGUAUGACAUUCAUCUCUUUGCACAUAUACUAAUUUACUACAACAUUGCUUCUCAGAGACCUCGAAGCUAGAAGAGGAGUUGAUGUCAUGGUGUCGUGUUAUGGUUCAGCUACUAUAUGAAAAUAAUGUAAUUAUGUACUUAAUAUAUAAUUUAUUAAGUAACAUGGUGAGAGCCAUGUUACUAGAUUUUAGUUGGUUAUAGAAUAUAAUUUAAUUAUUACUUUGAGAAGGGGUUGAUUAAAAAGAUUACUAUAGAAUUUGUAUAACUUUAAUUUCUUUUUAAUAGUGGCUUUUAAGAUUGGUUUUGGUUGAUAGUAACUUCUAAAUAUUUAGAGUCACCUUUAUUAGACAUUGGUGACCUUUGAAAACUUAUUUUGGUUCUUUUAUUUGGUGUUUAGAGCAUAAAUUUUAUAAAUAUUAUAAGAAAAAGGAUUGAAGAAGGGUUUUGGUAGCAAAGUAAGUAAUUAGGGCACCAAUAUAGAUGAAUGGAGAUGAAUGGAGAUGAAUGGAGAUGAAUGAUGAAAAUCUCCAUUCCUAUUGGUCAAAAAUCAUGACCAAUAGGCUUUGAGGAGGCUCCAUGAGGCCAUAUUAGAAAUUAGGGUUAGUUUUUUGGAGCCAUUUGAGCUUUGAAGGCUAAAGUCAGCAAGUUUAGAUUUUUGGCUAUGGAUUUGGUACAAUUUUUGUAUGAUUUGGAGUUUAUGUGAAGAAAAUAUAGAUACUCAAAGUUAAGGUAUUGAUUUGGGAGCUAUUGUCACUCUUUUUGGCAUAACGCACGCGUACGGAUAGCAAUUGAAGAUUGGCAAUUGUGACUAGAUCGAGUACUUUUGCAGCUACACUUUUUUUAUAUUGCUUACUAGAUUCUAAGUUGACAUGAAGGAGUUAUUGGAUUUUGAACUCAGCACAUACAAUCUAAGGGUAGUAAGUGACCCGAUUUACUAGUGGUUGUGUCUUGAGCUAUAUCUUGAGCAAUUUGACAAGGUUUUGGCUUAAAAUUUCAGAAAAUGUGUAACUUUAUGUUAAUAAACUUUAUAAAUAGGUUUUAUAACAUUUGAAUAUUGGAUUCUUAAGAUAUUAAGAAAAUAGUACUGGGAUGCUUGUAAAUUAGGGUUUAGAGCAUCUACUAGGAUUUCUUAGAUGACAAAAGCUUAGGAGUGAAUUUGCACUUGGUUUUUUUUUUGACAAAAUUUACAAGUGAAUUCUACCUAUUUUAUAAAUUUGAAAAAAAUUGAAUAACUUAAUCAAGAGUUAUGAAUUUCUAAAGUUUGAGACAAGAAAAUCAAUUGCGUAAAAAAUAUGUUUUGAAGGGAUUUUGUUAUAUUUUGAGUUUUAUGCAAAAUAAAGGAGUUUUUGGAGGCUAAGACAAGAUUCAUAUAUAGAUUUAAGCUAAACUCUCUAUAGCUAGAUAUCUAGUGUAUUCCUAGAUAGCAAAUCUUGCCAUAUGAUAAACCUAGUAAAUCCAACGUAAAUUUUUUUGGAAUAGAGAGUUUUGAAGAAAUAUUUUGGCUUUCUAUUAUGGAAGGGAGAAAAGAGAGUGGUAGUAGGAAUUGCACUAGGGAAUCUCGAUUGCAACUUGAUCCUGCUACAACUCAAAUAUUUUAAGCAUUUGUACUUUUUAUGCAACAACAGCAAGGAAUGGAACGCAAGAAAGCAAUGGCUACUAAAGCCUUGCAAUCUGUUGUGGAUUUAUUGGAUUAAUUUGAUGGAAGAAAUAUUUUCAAGUAUCUUAAGUAUUAUUCUAAAGAGAUGGAGCUCAAUAAAGUGCCAGAGAAAGAUAUGAUCUUAACAUUUGAAGCUGCAGUUGUACCAGAGCUUCGUGAGCAUAUAAAGGGAAUUAUUAAAACUCAUGGAGAAAAAUGUGAGGAUUUUAUCUUUCAGCUAAAAGAAGAAUAUUCUUUAGAAGAUGGAAAAAUGAUGACAAGAAAAAAAUUUAUGGAAUAUAUCAAUAAAUCUAACAAGGAGUUGGUUGCAACAGAGUUAUUCCGAGAAUUUGAAAGACAGUUUCUUUAAUUGUCUUGAGUGAAAAAGCUUAUACUUGAAAAUGAUAAGGUGGAGUUAUUUCUUCAAUCAACUAGCAAUGAUUUACAAAGAGAGUAGGAAUUACUAUUAGAAGAUAAUACAAAGGACAAUGGACUUACUACUGAUUGGAAGAAUGUCUCUGAAGCUAUAGGCAUACUUGUUAAAAGAGAGUACCAGAAGGAUAAGGUGAUAGUAAGGCAAGAGGCUACAAUUGCACCAUAGAAAGAUACGAUUGAUGAAUUGAUAAAAGGAAUGAAAGACUUACAAAUCAAAUUGGCAAAGCAAGAGAAAAAAGAAGGUUUACGUGAGAUCAAACCUGCAUCAAAAAAAGGAUAUAUACAAAGAUGUAUUUGGUGUGAUAGUAUUGACCAUCCUCGCAAGGAAUGUGAAAAUUUUGUUGAUAUUCUGCAACAAAGAAUAAUUUUAUGGAAAGAUGGAAAAAUUGUGUUGUGAGAUACAGGUGAGUUUCUCAAAACCAAUUUAAAAAAAGAAGGGAUGAAGAAGGUUUUAAAAGAGUAUUUAUUUCAACAGGCUAUGGCAUCAAGAGAGGCUAUUAUUUAUGGCAUUGAGGCUAUAAAGAAAAAGGAGGAUAUUUUUGACAAGCAUGUAAACAUAGGAGAUCUAUAGAAUCAUACUAUUAUCAACAUGAAUAAAAGAAAAAUAAUAAGAUAAGAAUUACUUAAUAUAGCUACAAUAAUUAGAAAUGCUACAAGAUGGAAUGAGCCUAUAGAUCUUAUAUCUGUACAUACUUAUUUGAAAAAAUUCCAACAUGAAACUCUAAUGAAGGUAAAAAGGAGAAGAAAUGAAAUAGAAGAAAAUUUUGAAGAGCCAAUGAAUAAAAAGAGAUCUCAAAGGCAUACAAAAACAACACAAAAUAAAGAAAUACCUAUACCAUAGGCUAAUACACCAUCCAAGGCUGGGCCAUCGACAUCGCACCCUGGAAAUGUACCACUACCAAAAGAGAAAUGGAAAGAAAGGAUGAAAUUUGAUAAAGACAAAGAGAAGAGUAAGAAUAUUACUUAUAAGCUACAAUCAGAUAUUGAGGUAGCCAUAGAUUUGAAAGGAGUAUUGAAAAAAAAAGUAUUAAAUGCCAAAAUUGAAUUUACUCUACGAGAAAUUUUGGACAUUACAAAAAAAGAGUUUCAUGAUGUUAUCAUUGACAGUAUUAAACAAUAGAGGUAGUUGACAGGAGAAUCUGCUGUAUCUAAUGCUUUGGAUACAAUCUUGACUGAAAAAUAGGAACAUGAAUUGAUAAAAUGUUGUACUGAUAAAAAGAUACAAUUUGAUUUGGAUGAAUACAAAGAUGAUGACAAGGACCCUGGAUACUAUAUCAAGGGACAUUGGGCCAGAGCCACUAUAGAGACUUUAGUAAAAAUGAAAGACUUGGUAGAACCAGUAAUUGCUCUCAUUAAUCAUGGAUCCAAAAUUAAUAUUAUGUCGAAAGAAGUCUACUAACAUGGAAGGUAUCAAGGACAUAAACUCCAAAGAAAGAUAAUCUCAAUAUACUCUUGUAUCAUUCGAAAAUACUUAGAAAUCACUCAAAAGUGAUAAUAUAUUGAAUUAGAAUGGCUAUUGUCAAAGACUAGAAAACAUGACGACUCUUGAAACUAGACUGGAAAUAAGAAAGAAGUUGACAAGAGUGAAGAAGGCUUUAUUCUUAUCUCUAUGUAUACUAUCUAAUUAGGGGCUAUAUGGCAACAUUCUAUAGGACCUCCAAUAUGUGUUGACUUUGUAGGAUACUUGCCUUGACUUACAAGGUAAGUUUUUCUACGUGUAGGCCACAUAGUUAGCUUGGUCUUCAAGCUAACAAUAUGUGUAGCACAUGGCUAACUUGUUGACCACGUUUAUAAUCCAAAAAUUCAAUUAAAGACACCUAUGAAGUCAAAGCAAUAUCUAUGAAGCUUUUAGGAAGCUUCCAUACCAAAUACUAUAGAAUUAACUUAUUUUUAUCUACUUUUACUUACUUCUACUUAUUUAUAUAUGUAAUUACUAGCUUACAUGAGUAUGUCCGUGACAUUAUCCCACCUUCUAGGAACAAGUUCCAUGAGGAGUGGUCAUCAUAUGUUGAAGAAAUCUAUGAUGCGAUGAAUUAUAUUUGCUACAUAUUCUAAUCUUUGUUCUCUUUGAAAAUGAUUGAUAGGGCCUCUCAACCAUUGGUAGUGUCCCAUACUAGGGCGGGAAGAUCACCCAGUUAUUUGGUCGUUGUUGAGGCCUUCAUAACUUCCCUCAAAGAAAAUAUUUGGAACACCAUUAAGAAUUGUUCCUACCUCUAGUAAAAUCACCAAACAUCGAGAGUCCCUUCUAAAGUCAUGAUACCAAACGCGUUGUAUCUCACCAUCUAUUCGAGGAAGAAUAUAUCGUUCUUGAAGAUCUUCAUCUCGAUUGCAUCAUCUUGAAGGUUGUGACAAUCGUAAUAUCUCAUCUGGAAGAUUAACAAACAAAGGCUCUUGAGUCAAAUCCGUUGGUUGUUGGUUCUCCAUCUCCUUAGGAUCACAACUACAAAUAAAGAUUGAAAGUAGAAUGUUAUCUUAUCUAGAUCUUGUUUCUUUUAUAAAGAAGAUUUUUAUCUUGAUUUUGAUGGAUGUCGUCGAUGAAAAGCCUCCACCGCCUUUGCUGCAUUUACAAGAUUUUUUACUGGCUCCCAUGUGCGUUCACUAAUAUCAUAUCCACGCCAAUGGAUAAGUUAUUCUAAUUUAUUUUGGUGCCGCCUUGAAUCUAAGACUUCUUCCACUUCAAACUCUUCAUUAUUGUCCACUUCUAUAGGAGGAAGUAGAGCUUGUCUUCUUCUUGGUAUAUCCACUAUCUUUUAUAGUUCAAGAAGAGACACAUGGAAUAUUCGAUGGAUUUUUAUUGACUCUGAUAGAUGUAAACGAUAUGCAAUUGAAUUGAUUUGUGCAGAAAUAUAAAAUGGUCCAAGCCUUCAAUAGUCCAACUUGUUAUAAGGACAAGUGAUCUUGAUAUUAUGACAAAGUAAUCAUACCUUAUCGCCCAUGUGGAAUGGUGGUUAUUCCUUUUGAUAGACAUCCACAUUGACCUUUUGUCAUUCUUGAGCUUCUUUUAAUUGCGCCUUUAUUAUUGCAUAUAACUCUGACAACCGAUUUGCCAUAUCUUCUGUCGUGGGAUUAUCAACUUUUGAGAAAUCAAAUGUGUCAAAUCAUAGAUGAUAACCAUAAUUAGUAAAGAAAGGUGUUUGUUGCAUAGAAGAAUGCUUUGUAUUAUUAUAAGCAAACUCUGCCAAUAGUAGAAGAGUUGUCCAAUCAUCUUAUUGAUAGUUGAUGAUACAUCUUAAGUAUUACUCCAAGACUUGAUUUAUGUGCUUUGUUUGUCCGUCAAUUUGAGGAUGAAAAGUCGAAGAUAGUUUUAUAUCCACUUGUAAAAUUUUAAAAAAGGUUUUCUAAAAUCUUGAUACAAACUGAGUUCUCUUAUCCGAUAUAAUAUCCUUUGGUAACCCAUGAUAGCGAUAGAUAUUGUCAAUAAAAACCUUAGCUGUUUCUUCACCCGAGAUGGAUUUUGUACAUGGUAAAAAAUGUGCCAUCUUAGUGAAGCAAUCUACUAUCACAAAUAUAGAAUCAUAAGAACCUGAGCUUAGAAGAUUUGUGAUGAAGUCCAUAGAAACAAAAGACCAUGGUUUUUUUGGAAUGGAUAAUGGCUGAAGAAGUCCAAAAGGUCGGUGACGAGGAGUUUUUGAUCUUGAGCAAACAUCACAUGAUUGUACAAAAUCUUUGACUGCCUUCCACAUUUGAGGCCACCAAAAUCUCCUAGAUAUCAGCUCCAAAGUCUUAUUGUAUCCAAAAUGUCCUGCUACUGAAAAGUUAUGAUGAGCUUGAAGAACACAUAAAUGUGCUUCUCCUUCUGGAACAUAUAGGCAUCCUUUGAAAUAGAAUAGGUUGUUCUUGAACUCGAAUUUAGAGGGAUCAUGAGAUUUAGAAGAAUUAUUCUUGAUAUCAUGAACAAGAGGGUUUGAAGACAUACUUAAUUGGACUUGCUUGAGAAAAGUUAAAUCAACAGUCAAUGUUGAUUUUAUUGCUCGAAGAUGAAAUUACUCCGGCUUCAAGAGAACCAUUCUUUGCUGCUUAAAAGCUGCAUCUCCUUCUUUUGGUACAAGAUAAGAACGUCUAGACAAGGCAUCGGACAAAUCUUGUUGUUUUUCUAGUCAAUAAGUAAUGAUGAACUCGAAUCUUGAUAAAGACAUGCUCUAACAAACUUGACGAUGAUUUAAUAUACAUGCUGACAUGAAAUACUCAAGGUUCUUAUGAUCCGUAUACACGGUGAUUGGACUUAAGGUGCCUUCUAGAUAAUGAUGUCAUUCUUGAAAUGAAUCCAUAAUUAUAAGAAGCUCUUUAUUAUAGAUUUCAUAGUUAAUCUCAACUGCUAAAAAUUUCUUGGAAUGGAAGGCUACUAGAUGAAGUUUAUCAUUUGUUCCUAUUUGUGACAAAACGACACCCAAGGCAAAUUCUGAUGCAUCUAUUUCCAUAAAAAAUAUCUUUGAAAAAUCGAUGCAAUAUAAGAUUGGUGCAGAAAUAAAUUUUUUUUUUAAAGCAUCAAACGCUAGUUUAGCUUCUUUACUCCACUCAAAUUUGUCUUUAUAAGUCAAACGCAUAAGUGGAGCUGUAACUUGAGAGAAGUUUUUGAUGAAGAUUUGAUAGUAAUUUGUAAAGCCCAAAAAAUAUUGUACAUCUCGUAUUAUUCUUGGAAACUUCCAAUCUAUGAUAGUCUCGACCUUCUUGGAAUCGAUCACUACGCCUUCGUUAGAAAUAAUGUAUCCUAAAAAGUCAACUUGAGUAGUGUAGAAUACACACUUUUUUAACUUGGUAUAUAAUCCUACAUCUCUUAAUUUUUGUAACACACGACGAACAUGGAGUUCAUAUUCUUCUGUGUUCUUAGAGUAGAUUAGAAUGUUGUCUAAAUAAGAAACGACAAAAUCAUCUAAAAACUCACGAAAAACAUCAUUCAUAAGAUAUUGAAAAGCAGCUGGUGCAUUUAUGAGUCCAAAAAGCAUGACAUUAUAUUCAAAAUGUUCAUACUUAGUUCGAAAUGCAAUCUUUCAUUCAUCUCCUUCUUUGAUGCGGACCAAGUUGUAUACUCCUUAUAGAUCUACUUUUGUGUAGAUCUUUGCUUCAUUGAGUUGAUCAAGAAAUCCUAAAAUCAAAGGUAAAGGAUACCUGUUUUUUAUGGUAAUCUUGUUAAAGCCCCGAUAGUCUAUGCACAUCUGUAGAGAUCCAUCUUUUUCUUCACAAAUAAGAUCGAUGCUCUUGUUUGAGAUUUUGAAUGACAUAUGAAGUUUUUAGCCAAGUUCUAGUCAAUAUACUCUUUUAGUGCAGCUAACUCGUUUUAUGAUAAGCUAUAGAUUGGUCCAAAUGGCGGUUGAGUUUCUUCUUGAAGAUCAAUUGAACAAUCAUAAGGUCGAUGUUCUGAAAGAAUAUCUGCAUUCUUCUUUUCAAAAACAUCUUGGAAUUCUUCAUAUUGACUAGGUAUAUUACUUGACGUCUUUUCACUAUCUGAAAUGGGUGUGGCAUAUAUAGCAAAAGAUGACCCCUCUUUGGUUGCAUGCAUGAAAGCUCUUGUCCCUACUAAUAAGGGCUUAGAUAUACUAGACUUAUGUAUUUCCUCUUGAUCAAUAGAAUUUCGAAAUAAACUACUAGGAAAGUUAAGAUUACGAGAAAUCUAAUCUAUUUGAGAGUUGUACUUUUCUAACUAAGAUAGUCUUAAAAUGAUUGGAUUCAAAAGAGAUCAUAUCACAUUAAAUAUUACUACACUAUUAUGAUCUUUAAUUAUUACAUCUAAAAGAACAGUCUCAUAGAUAACAUCACCAAAAGAUAACGAACGACCAUCUAUGACUUUCACAUGUACGGGUUUGAUUUUCUUGACUAACGAUAUUUCUUAUUUUUUGAUAAAGUCUUCGUCUAUAAAAUAAGCUGAGGCUCUUGAAUCUAAUAAUAUAAAGACUUUAUGAUUUUUGGAUCCUAAACACACAUCUAUUCUAAAACAAGGUGAAGGAUCUAAAGAGAGAAUAGGAUCUUGACUAUGAGUUGUACGUGGUUCCAGCCGCACGGUCCCUAUUAUAAUUAGAGGAACUCAUUUUCUGACACAUUGUCUUCUUUUGCAAUCGUACGCUUUAUUUUGUGAUUGCGUUGCUUCUUUAGACAAUGUUGAACAGUGUAUUUAGCUUCUUUGUAAUAUAGACAUAAGCCCUCUUGACAUCGUCGAGUCUUUUCCUACUCUGUGAGGGAUUUAAAAUGUACCGCAUCAAUUUGCAUUGGCUUUGGCUUUGAUAGAAAGGAUUCCAAAAACUUAGAAAGUAUCGCCAUGACUUGAUUUGUUCCUCUCCAGCCAUAUCUUUGUUCUUGAUGUCUUUCAAAUAAAUAAUUAUCACAUAUAAUAACUUGAGCAAUGAUAUGUUCUAAAGAAUCUAUUUUUGGCAUUGUCAAUAAUAUAUCCUUGACAUUACCCUUUAAUCCAUAGCAAAAUUGAUUGAUAAGGGCUUUAUCAUUCCAGUCCACAUCACAAGUAAGACUUUGGAAUUCAGCGGUAUACGUAGUGGCUGAACAUGAUCCUUGUCACAGUGAUACAAGCUUGAUCUUUGCUAUCCUUUCUCGAUCACUUUUUUUAAAUAUAGCCAUAAAUACUUACAAGAAUGAAUUCAAAUCAUAGAGUAGUCGUGAAUCUUUUUCCAUCAAAGGUACGAAUCAAGAGAGAACACUUCCGGAUAGAAGUGCGCCUAUGAAUCCAACUUGAAUAAAUCCAUCAAGGUAUUGGAAAGGAUGCAACCUUAAGUAGAGUUUAACUUGUUGCAAAAACCCUUGAAAUCUUGAUCUUAUUCUGUCAAACUUUUCAGGCAUACUAAUCCUUACCUCCCUCAAGCUUGUAGAAGCAAAAUUCUUGGAAUUUGGUUGUGAGGCUAAUCGACUUAUUUCCUUCAACUGCACAACUUCUUGGCAUAGACUAUGAACUUCUUUCAUAGUAGUAGGAAUAGUACUUCCAUGGUUGGUAUUGGUGAUGAGUGAAAUUUCGGACUUGAGAGUGUUGACAAGCUCAUGAAGAUUUGCAAUAGUUACAAAUCUAUUUUUACUUCCACUAAGUGUAGCAUCCAUGAUUUUUCCUUCUAUAGACAACUCAAACAAAUUCAAAAGUUAAAUAAGACGAAGGUAAUCCGCAACCUCUAAAAACAAAUUCCACAAAGAGGGGUAAUCCACUCUCUUUAAAAAAUAGAUCAAUGUUAGAAAACAAGAUUUUUUGCUUAAAGGUGGAUAGUCCACAACCUUCAAAAUAUAAUAAUAGAAGUGGAGUAAUCCACUCACUUCUAGAACUAGACAGAAAUAAUAUGUUAGUACUCUUGUCAAACUAUCAAGAACAUGAACUCCAAAGAAAGAUAAUUUCAAUAUACUCUUGUGUCACUCAAAAAUACUUAGAAAUCACUCAAAGGAAAUAAUAUAUUGAACUAGAAUGGCUAUUGUCAAAGACUAGAAAAUAUUGCGACUCUUGAAACUAGAUUGAAAAUAAGAAAGAAGUUGACGAGAGUGAAGAAUGCUUCACUCUUAUCUCUAUAUAUACUAUCUAACUAGGGGCUACGUGGUGACGUUCUAUAGGACCUUUAAUAUGUGUUGACUUUGUAGGACACUUGCCUUGACUUACAAGGUAAGUUUUUCUACGUGUGGGCCACAUAGUUAGUUUGGUCUUCAAGCUAACAACAUGUGUGGCACAUGGCCAACUUCUUGACUACUUUUUUAAUUCAAAAAAUCAAUUAAAGAUACCUAUGAAGUCAAAGCAGUAUCUAUGAAUCUUCUAGAAAGCUUCCAUAUCAAAUACUAUAGAAUUAAUUUACUUUUAUCUACUUUUAUUAACUUCUACUUAUUUAUAUAUGUAAUUACUAGCUUACAUGAGUAUGUCCAUGAUAGAAGGUGGCCCAUUGAUAUUAACCAUGGUUGGAUGAUUUAGAUAGCAAAUAAUACACAAGGAGAUCUUUAUGGUGCUUGUCCAAAUAUGAAGGUAAAAGUAGGAGAUGUGACCAUAGAACAAAUUUUUUUUGUUCAAGACACUACUUCAUCCUUAGUGAUUUUUAGUCAACCAUAUAUUACAGCUCUGAGGAUAAAGACUAAGGUUUUGGAUGACGGAUCAACAUGUGCCCAUAUUAAAAGUCAAGAUGGAAAGAGUGGUGCAGUUUCUAACAGUACCUGUAAACCAUGAGCACAAUCGAGAUUAUUUACAAUGUGAUUUAUUACCAAGGAUCAGUGAACAGUUUAUGGAUUUUUGCAAGGUACCACUAUAGAGCGAGAAUGUAGUGAUAUAUCAAAAAAGGUACUCUUGCAUAAAAAAGAAAGUACCUUUUGUAUAAGUAUUAUAGAAUUAUCUAAGAAUGGAUUUGCUAUCUAUACACAACUUAAUGAUCUACGAAUGUGGGAGAAAAAAGUUGUGCAAAAAUCUGAAAAAGACCUAAAAAGAGUAGGUGUGCUUGAUGGAGAUGAUAAGAUACUAGGUGUAUAUAUGGAGACUGGUUUAGAAGAUUUUAUGAAAGAAAUUUUAGAAGUUGAACAAGAAAAUAAAGAUCAAGUGGUGCAAGUACAUUCAAGAGAGCUCUACUCAACUAUACAAGCAUUUCAAGAUUAUGAAGUCAAAGUUGAAACUAGGUACAAGACUGUGGAGAAGAAAAUAAAACUUGUAGCUAUAUCAUUACCUAAUGAUUCCAAUCAUCAAGUUCAACAUGUUUUGAAGAAAAAGGGCUUAUGGGAUCCUAAACAAAUUGGCCACAAGUUUACCAAGAACAAACUCAAUGAGUUGAAAGUAGGAUCUACAAAUUUUCUAUUGUCUGUUGAAGAAAUAGAAUUUAGAAAUAUGUUAAAUAUGCAUGGAAAGGCUUUUGCUUUUGAACCUUCAGAAAUUAGAUGUGUUGAUCCAAAUAUUGUAGCACUAAUGAUUAUAUUUACAGUUCCGCAUGUUCCUUGGAAUUUAAGACCAAUUUCAAUGCCUAAAGCACAUCUACCUGAACUUAUGGAGUUUUUAAAAGAAAAGAUGUAAAUGAAGAUCCUAAAGCCAUCAUUUAAACCAUAUUCUAGUCAUUGGUUUACAGUACCAAAGAAAAAUGGAACACUACGGUUCAUUCAAGAUAUGCAACCAGUGAAUCAAGUGACUAUUAGAAAUAUUGGAAUUCGACCAAUUGUUGGAGAAUUUGUUGAGGUAUUUGAUAGUAGAGCUAUUUAUUCUAUUGGAGAUCUAUAUUCUAGAUAUGAUCAAUUCCAACUAGCUGAAGGAAGCAAAGACAUCACUACUAUGAUGAUACCUUUAGGGUUGAUUAAGAUUUAUACAUUGCCACAAGAAGCAACAAACUCGGUAGCUCACAUGAUGAAUGGGAUGAAUAAGAUUCUUUGUGAUUUCAUUUGAGAAAAGACUAUGCCCUUCUUUGAUGAUAUUCCAAUAAAAAGAUGUGUAGAAGAAGAGAAAAAUGAAACAAUGAAUCAAAAGAAGUGCUGUAAAUUUGUAUUUAAUCAUAUUUUGGACUGUGACAAAAUUUUAUCUCGACUUGAGGAGGUUCACUUGAUACUAUCAGGAGCUAAAUCUAUCUUUGGAAUUUGAGAAGUUAUUAUUGUGGGGUAUUUGUGUAGAUGGUUUGGUCGCAAACCUGAUCCUAAUAAGGUGGAUGCCAUACAAUGGAUGAAGGAUAUUUGUAGCUCACAAAUAGAGGCACAGGGGAUUUUAGGAGCUUGUAUAUUUUAUUGUGUAUGGAUUCCUCAUUAUGUAUAUGUAGCUGAUCCUCUUUAUAGUUUGCUUUGAAAAAAAAAGAGAUUUAAAUGGGAAAAGAAGCAUACACAAACAAUUCAAAAGCUAAAGCAAUUAUUAUCUUUUCUACUUGUAUUGUGAAGGAUAAGUUAUGAGGAUGGUAAAUUGGUAAUACUUAUAGUUAAUACUAGUCCAAUAGCUAUUGAUUGGGCUUUAGGACAAAAUAAUGAAGAAGAUAACAGGUUUGUUAUUAGAUUUGGAGCUAAAGUAUUAAAUGAACAACAAAGAAACUAUCUACAGGUGAAACAGAAGCUAAGGAGAAUAGUUAUAGCUAUGAAAAAUGAAAGAGAUUAUUUAAUAGGAGCACCAGUGAUAGUGAAAACAGAUUGUUUGCCACUAUUGGGAAUGAUUACCAACUGUAACACCCAUAAUUCUGCUAUGCUAAGAUAGAUUAAAUAUAUUAAAUCUUUGAAUUUUGAAUUUAGGCAUAUAUCAAGCAAGGAUAAUCUUAUAGCAGAUAUGCUACCUUGAGCUAGAUAUGAACAAAAAGAAGAUUUAAUUGAAGAUACUGAAGAUAUAGGUACUACCUUCUAUUUUAGGAUACAACAAGGAGAGGAUAAAUAUCCAAGACCAUUUACAGAAGAAUUAUAUGAAGAAGAAUGGAUUGAUAUUGGACGCUAUUUAAAAAUAUUAUCAAGAUAAUUAGGAUGGAAUGAUACUCAUUUGAAACAGAUUAGAUGGAAGGCUUACAACUACCUCUUACAAGGUGGUUACCUAUAGAAGCGAUGCAAACAAGAUAGUGGAAUGUCACAGAGAGUAGUUUAUAAGAAAGAGAUGCAAGAAUAAUUAAUCUAUGAAUUCCAUGAUAGUUUGUGGGCUGGAUAUAGAGGUAUUUAUGCCACCUUUAACAAGCUCAAAGAAAAAUAUUGGUGGCGUAACAUGUAUAGAGAUGUGGUGAAGUUUGUAGAAUCAUACCAAACUUGUCAGAUAUACUUGAAGAUUUGACAUAGAGAUGGAUUGCAUCCUACAUAUCUACUUGCAAUACAUUAUAAAUGGAUUGUAGACCUAGUUACUAUGCCUAUGGAGAUAUGGCAAAUGUGGUACUUGGCUCUAGCACGAGAAGAUUUUUGUAACCAAGUAGAAGAAAGAGCUCUACGAAUAAAAUCCACUGAAGGAGUUUAUAGAUUUUUAUUCGAAGAUGUGAUUUGUAGAUAUGGAUGUAUUAGAAAAAUUACUGCUGAUCAUGGAGAAUUGGAUGUACAUGAGGCUAGACAGUUCUUUGAGAGAUGUGGAGUGAAGCUAACACUUACUACAUCUUAUAAUCCAGAAGGUAAUGCUAAGAGUGAGAGAGGUCAUCUUCCUAUUGUAAAGACCAUUGUUAAAACUUGCAAAGAAAGAGUAAGAGAAUGGCCAAGAUUAUUACCAUUUGUUCUUUGGACUGAUCGUACUAUUCACAGUUUAGUGACAGAAUAUAUGCCAGUAGAGUUAAUGUAAGGACAGAAGCCCAUUAUGCCAAUUGAAGAGCAAAUACUUACUUGGAGUAUCUUGCCUUGGCAAGAAAAUAUAUCUAAAGAAGAAUUUUUUGUACUUUGAAUUUGUCAAGUAGAGAGAAGACCUCAAGAUGUAAAAAAAAUUAUUAUAAGGCUGAGGGAGUCAUGCUUGAAGAAUAAAGAUAGAUUUGAUAAGCAACACAGGUUGAGGCCGAAAGAUAUUCAAGAAGGUGAUUGGGUUUUGGUAUAUGAAAACAAUUUGGAUAACGAACAUAGUGUUUUUAAAAAAUUUUCUAAAAAUUGGUUUCGACCUUAUGUGGUUGUACAUGUUUUGGAUAAUGCUACAUAUGCAUUAAGGGAAUUACAUGGAAUAAGAUUCAAAAUUCCAAUUGCAAGAAAAUAUAUAAAACUUUUCAAACAAUGGGAUCAAGAACUAGUCCUUGAAGAUAUUGAAGAAGAGUUUGAUCUAUCUAGAUAUGAAGAAGAAGAAUUAGAUUUUGAAGAAGACAUUAUUAAGGAAGUAAUAUAAUGUCGACCACAACUUUGAUUCUUUUUGGUGCAUACUGGAGGAUGCACAAGUUUAGAGGAGGUGGAUGUCAUGUUGUGGUUCGCCUACUAUAUGAAAAUAAUGUAAUUAUGUACUUAAAAUAUAAUUUAUUAAGUAACAUGGUGAGAGCCAUAUUACUAGAUUUUAGUUGGUUGUAGAAUAUAAUUUAAUUAUUACUUUGAGAAGGGGUUGAUUUAAUUUCCUUUUAAUAGUGGCUUUUAAGAUUGGUUUUGGUUGAUAGUAACUUCUAAAUAUUUAGAGUCACCUUUAUUAGACAUUGGUGACCUUUAAAAACUUAUUUUGGUUCUUUUAUUUGGUGUUUAGAGCAUAAAUUUUAUAAAUAUUAUAAGAAAAAGGAUUGAAGAAGGGUUUUGGUAGCAAAGUAAGUAAUUAGGGUACCAAUAUAGAUGAAUGGAGAUGAAUGAUGAAAAUCUCCAUUCGUAUUGGUCAAAAAUCAUGACCAAUAGGCUUUGAGGAGGCUGCCUGAGGCCAUAUUAGGAAUUAGGGUUAGUUUUUUGGAGCCAUUUGAGCUUUGAAGGCUAAAGUCAGCAAGUUUAGGUUUUUGGCUAUGGAUUUGGUAUAAGUUUUGUAUGAUUUGGAGUUUAUGUGAAGAAAAUAUAGACACUCAAAGUUAAGGUGUUGAUUUGGGAGCUAUUGUCACUCUUUUUAGUAUAACGCAUGUGUAUGGAUAGCAAUUGAAGAUUGGUGAUUGUGACUGGAUCGAGCACUUUUGCAGCUAUAUUUUUUGCAUACUGAUUACUGGAUUCCAAGUUGACGUGAAGGAGUUAUUGGAUUUUGAACUCAGCACAUGCAAUCUAAGGGUAGUAAGUGACCCGAUUUACUAGUGGUUGUGUCUUGAGCUAUAUCUUGAGCAAUUUGACAAGGUUUUGGCUUAGAAUUUCAAGAAAUGUAUAAUUUUAUGUUAAUAAACUUUGUAAAUAGGUUUUAUGACAUUUGAGUAUUGGAUUCUUAAGAUAUUAAGAAAAUAGUACUAGGAUGCUUGUAAAUUAGGGUUUAGAGCAUCUACUAGGAUUUCUUAGAUGACAAAAGCUUGGGAGUGAAUUUGUACUUGGUUUUUUUUGUGAAAAAAUUUAAAAGUGAAUUCUACCUAUUUUAUAAAUUUGAAAAAAAAUUAAUAACUUAAUCAAGAGUUAUGAAUUUCUAAAGUUUGAGACAAGAAAAUCCUUCGCGUGAAAAAUAUGUUUUGAAGGGAUUUUGUUAUAUUUUGAGUUUUAUGCAAAAUAAAGGAGUUUUGGGAGGCUAAGACAAGAUUCAUAUAAAGGUUUAAGCUAAACUCUCUACAAUUAGAUAUCUAGUGUAUUCCUAGAUAGCAAAUUAAGCCAUAUGAUAAUAGUGUCAUGUUGUAACAUGACUACAUGGUGAAAGAUAAUAAUAUAGAUCUUAUUAUAGAAGAGCCAAGUUAAAAGAUAAAGUAGAAAAAUAUAGAUAAAAGAUAGGAAGGUAGUAAAACUUUUAGUAGUAAUGCUGCUCUUUUAAAAAAAAUAGCUUCUAUUUACUUUGUAGGAUCAAAAUUAAGACAAAAUAAGAUAGAUUAGAAAAAUAAAUAAUAUAGACAUCUUAAGAAGGAAGUUAAGAGUAAAUUCUAGAAAAAAGUACUAAGAAAAACUAGAUAUUGAUACCCAAAGAGGGCCGGUUAUCAACUUGGAUUGAAAUCAGACCCUAUGGUACAAAACUAAGCACUUACGGCAACUUGGGGGUUCUUUUUGGAGAUCGAAGAGUGGAAUUUGAUAGCAAACUAGACAGGAUUUUUAUGAAGGUUGACUUUGGAUGAUUUGGAUUUGUUAUGACUUAGUAAGAGCUUUAUAAAGUCAAGAUUAUUUUUGGAUGACUUGGAUUUUUUGAAAUAAAAUAGGGUUGACGUUUCUAGUGAUUUCAAGAGUUUUAUAAUAGAUCUACAAAUAAAAUUUUGUAGAUUAAUGGUCAUAGUUGUGCUUCAUACAUGAUGUAAAUCUUAGCUCAAUCUAAUAGUUGAAUUGAGUGUUAUUGAGGUUUAAGUGAGUCAAGGUCUUAGAAAAAAGAAUUUUAAGUCUAAUAAGGAUUUUUAAGAUUUUUUACAAUCUACAUGUUGGAUUGGAGUGAAAUUUGUAUGAAAAGAUAUUAGAAUUAUUUUUCUAUAUAUGUGAGAAUUUUGAAAUCAAUCGAAUGGUAAAAAAGAGAGAUAUUGGCUCUAGGUAAUUAGUAUCAAGGUUAGAGAAGGAGGCCAACUAAUACCUUAGAACAUUUUUGUGAUUAUCGUCUAUUUGGUAAUUUCAAUUCUUUUCAAAAAAUUUGUGCUUGUUUUUAAUUUAAUUGUUAAAAAGCAUGCAAAUUUUGAAUUAAGAUCAACGGUUCAUUCAUUAGUAAUUGAGGUUUAAAUCUGUUGUAGGAAUUACUAGGGUUUGAUUUAGGAUUUAGGAUUUGGUUUAGUGUUUGGUUAGGAUUUGAUUUAGGAUUAGGAUUUGAUUAGGAUUUGAUUUAGGAUUAGGAUUUAGGAUUUGGUUUAGAAUUUAGGAUUUAGUUAGGAUUUGAUUUAGGAUUUAGGAUUUAGAUAGAGUUUGAUUUGAUUUAAGGUUUUAUAUGAGUUUGUUUAGGAUUUAAGAUGUAGUUUAUUAUUGACCUAAAUUUUGAAUGAAGUCCAAUAGGAUUUUAACUAGGAUUUAAUUAAGAUUGAAUUGAGAUGUAUUUGAGAUAUAUUUGUAAUCAUUCUAAUAUUUCUUUAAAAUUUCUUAUUAUUUCUUUGUAAUUCCUUUGAUAUUUUUUUAAAUUUGAUUAAAGUU